RNAcentral lists this long non-coding RNA (5182 nucleotides) under Malus domestica (apple). RNAcentral describes it as "long non-coding RNA (MDOM_LNC004138)". Lineage: Eukaryota; Viridiplantae; Streptophyta; Magnoliopsida; Rosales; Rosaceae. The record is from RNAcentral.
AGAGACAUUCUUUGGAGGAUUUUAGAGAAGAAAGGAGUACGAGUAGCAUAUAUCCAAGCUAUACAGGAUAUGUAUGAAGGAGCAAAGACUGCCGUAAGAACUCAUGAAGGACAAACCGAAAGCUUUCCCAUAACUGUAGGAUUACAUCAAGGCUCAUCCUUAAGUCCUUACCUUUUUGCGUUGGUAAUGGAUGAGUUAACAGGACAUAUUCAAGGUGAUAUUCCUUGGUGUAUGCUUUUUGUAGACGAUAUAGUGUUGAUAGAUGAAACUCAGGAAGGGGUAAAUGCAAAGCUUAACCUUUGGAGAGAAGUGUUGGAAUCUAAAGGUCUUCGCCUAAGCCGAUCAAAGACAGAAUAUAUGGAGUGCAAGUUCAGUGCAAAUGGAGGCCAAAACGAGUUAGGGGUGAGGAUCGGAGAUCAAGAAAUACCAAAGAGCGACCGUUUUCGUUACCUAGGAUCUAUCUUGCAAAAGAACGGAGAAUUAGAUGGAGAUCUCAACCAUAGAAUACAAGCUGGAUGGAUGAAGUGGAAGAGUGCAUCCGGCGUGUUGUGUGACCGCCGUAUGCCACUGAAGCUCAAGGGAAAAUUUUAUAGGACGGCAAUAAGGCCGGCGAUGCUGUAUGGCACAUAAUGUUGGGCGGUGAAGCAUCAACACGUACACAAAAUGGGUGUAGCGGAGAUGAGGAUGCUUCGUUGGAUGUGUGGGCACACGAGAAAGGAUAAGAUUAGGAAUGAGGAUAUCUGGGGUAAAGUAGGAGUAGCCGAAAUUGAAGGAAAGAUGAGAGAAAAUCGGUUACGGUGGUUUGGACAUGUGCAAAGAAGGCCUACUGACGCUCCGAUUAGAAGAUGCGACUAUGGGACAGAGGUUCAGGGCCGAAGGGGCAGAGGAAGACCUAGGAAAACUUUGGAAGAGACCCUAAGAAAAGACUUAAGAGUACUUGGAUCUAACGGAGGACAUGACACAGGACAGAACACAAUGGCGUUCUAAGAUUCAUAUAGCCGAUCCCACUCAGUGACCUGGAUUUUCCAAGUCUCCAACCGAGAAGUUUUCCUCACUCGGGAAAUUAAGGGAACACUACCUCAACCUAUAUGCUCCACUCACAAAGCUUCAACAUACAAGCUUCAACAAAAGAAAAUUCAAAGAACUUAGCGAAGAAGGCUUUGGUGUAUUUAACACAGUACGUUGAAAUGAAGGAAAACUUAUUUAUUGAUAUCCCCGAUAAGUUACAAAUAUGUACAUAUACUUGAGUCAAAAUAAACAAACAAGAGGGAGCCUUCACAAAGGUUGCUUAGGGGAAGUCUCAGCAGUCGGUAGAGCCCCAGAAAGAGAAGGCACCAGAGGGGGAUCAUUCGGAGCCUCAGUACUGGACAAAACCCUAGAAGGAGGAGGCAUCAGAGGUUGAUCAUUUGGAGCUUCAUUACGCGGUACAGCCUCAGAAGACGAAGGCAAUAAAUGCCUUUGGAACAAACCCACAAAUCUCUGAUGAUCAAGUAAAACCUGACCAUCAGAUUCCUUCAUCUGGUCAAGCUUCCUCUUCAUGUUUGUAGCAUAGUCAUGUGCGAGCCGGUGCAACUGUUUAUUCUCAUGCUUGAGCCCUCUAAUCUCAUGUUUGAGACUCAUCACUUCAGCCGCCAAUGAUUCAACUUGGCGGGUUCGAGCAAAUAGGCGUUGGGCCAUAUUAGACACAGAACCUGCACACUGAACACUGAGAGCCAGAGAAUCCUUAACAGCUAACUCAUCAGACCGUUUGGAAAGUAGUCUGUUAUCUUUGGGAGUGAGAAGGUUCCUGGCCACUACCGCAGCGGUCAUAUCAUUCUUCAUCACGGAAUCCCCAACGGUAAGAGGACCAGUAGGGGAGACGAAGGAUGGGCGCCAUAUGUUGUCUGGAGAAGGCGGGGCUGCCUCUUCAACAAGGUUCAAGUCAAAACGACGGUCGGAGGGGCCAGACAUUUUCAAAGGUGUUGAAGAGAGAAGAGGUCGGACAAAUCAAGAUCUUAGAAGUGCAAGAAUGGAGCUUCUACUGGUGGAUAUUCAAGUGUGCUUUGGAACUUAAUGUCAGCCCCUAUAAAAAUCUGCACUCGACGAAGCUUCAGAAAUCGAAGAGGCGCCUGCUCAGAAAUCGAAGAAGCGUUUGCUUUCUCAAAAGCUGGGCUGCUCAGAGACCACGAGGGUCGAUCUCAGAAAUCGAAGAGGCGUUUGCUUUCUCAAAAGCUGGGUUGCUCAAAGACCACGAAGGCCGAUCUCAGAAAUCGAAGAGGCUUGCUUUCUCAAAAGCUGGGCUGCUCAGAGAUCACGAGGGCCGAUCUCAGAAAUCGAAGAGGCACCUACUUUUCCAGCCUUGUCAGCACCUGUCACACGCACACUCAGCUUUGCGGAAAUUAUGGGCAUUCUGUCGAAGAUUUCUGGCGAAGUAGAAAGCACAUGAAUCGUACUGUUCAAUCACCCAUUUCCCACACGCAACAGUAGCUCAUGGGUACCACAGAUAACUUUGCCAAAGUUCUCUGACAAAGUUGAGACACGUGAAGCUUGCAGCUCCCACUACAUCGCUCUGACCGAGAAGGGUAAAAGAAUAGCAAAGAAACAACACUAACAAAGUUUAGACACAUAAAUUUUGAAGGUCUAGCUACCAUAUUAUUACCCACAAGGGUAAAGGAACAGUACCACUGCUGGAUAAUUGGAAGCUCCCGGUGUGUCAACCUUUGUACUUCGUGGCACGGUAGACGAGCAAACAUGCCCAACCUUUACUCACAUUCGAGAAAACACUCCCAACAAGAUUGCUUGCUCCAAAAUCGAAGAGGCACCGCCCUCCGAAUCUCGAGAGCCAGACUCCCAACAUGAUUACUUUCUCAAAAAUCGAAGAGACACCGCUCUCCGAAUCUCGAGAGCCAGACCCCCAGCAGGAUUGCUUUCUAAAAAAUCGAAGAGGCAUUGUUCUCCGAAUCUCGAGAGCCAGAUCCCCGACAGGAUUGCUUGUUCGAAAACCGAAGAGGCACCACUUUCCCAACUUCAAGAGCUGGAUCUCCUUGGAUAAAGCUUGUCUGUAAUCUUCACACGCAACAUCAGCUUUCCAGAUACCACAGACCACUUUUUCAAAGUGCUCUGACAGAGUUAAAACAUGUGAAGCUGGCAGCUCCCACUACCGUGCUAUGACCAAGCAGGGUAAAGGAUAGCAUUAUUACUAGAUGUUAGGGAGACUCCUAUAUAUGUCGACCUCCAUCCCUAACGGACAGGCAGAUCUGCAAAAAUGCUCAACCCUUUCUCUUAUCUGAGAGGGCACUCCCAACGAAGCCUUUCGAAAUAUUCAGCUUUCUUUCCCCCCGAUAAUACCUCUGUAAACAAGCUAUACUAGAGCAAGAAUAUCUCAUAUCAUCAGGGUUAAAAGCAAGAGUAUCCCAUAUCAUGCUUUUUCCCUGUCUUUUCCUUUGGCCUUGUUCUUACCUGCAAGACAAAGGAGAAAGAGAGCAAUCAGUCAGCACUUAGAAUCAAGCUUCCAGCCAGGAACUGACUGCCUGGAACCCCUUACCUGAUUACUUACCUGGCAUUGCUCUUGAGUACUCAUCUUCAACAUCUUAUGCUUCCAGGGAAGAUACCGCAUCUGCCUGAGGAACAGAUAGGGCAAGUGAGAAGGAUACAAGGAAGCAUGUGGAGACAAGCGUAACAGCACACGUGCCGAUACAUCCACUACUCUGUCAAAAGCAAAAGUAUCCCAUAUCAGCAGGGUCGAACGUACUCUAGAUUUGAUGGACUUGUUUUGACCCUCAAAUUCUUCAGUCGGCCUUAUACUCUGGAGGAAACCAGAAAACCCUCCAGCCCAGUUCAAGAAUAAGCCUGUGGAAAGUUACUUCUUCAAAAGCAAAAGUAUCCCAUAUCAUCUCUUCUCAUUUUUCUUCUCUUUAUCCUUCAUGCUGCCUGCAAGAUAGGGAGAAUGUGAACAAUCAGCCGGAGCUCUGAUUGCUUACCUUGUCUGUCACCUCUUUCAGCAGAUCCCCUAGCUCGGCGACUUGGGGACUCCUACUACAUGGUUUGUAUCGCGCUUGACCAAGCAUGAAACUACAAGUAAGCUUCAAGUGAAAUUGAUACAUUACCUUGUGCAUCUCCACUAGUUACAGAUACCACCCCUGGAUGGAGGAGGAGUACUUCCAGAGAAGAUGCCACAUCUACCUAUGAGACAGAUAAGGCAAGUCAAGACGAUAUCACACUCCGGUACUUAGAAGUUUCGUGGCUACGAGAUCAUUCUCCCACAAUAUUCCCUAAUGUCAUUUGUACUAAAUCAUUCACUUGUACUCACUAAAGGAGAGCUUGAACCUAUGUACUUGUGUAAACCCUUCACAAUUAAUGAGAACUCCUCUAUUCCGUGGACGUAGCCAAUCUGGGUGAACCACGUACAUCUUGUGUUUGCUUUCCUAUCUCUAUCCAUUUAUAUACUUAUCCACACUAAUGACCAGAGCAAUCUAGCGAAGAUCACAAAAAGUGACCGUUUUCGAUACUUAGGAUCUAUCUUGCAAGAGAACGGAGAAUUAGAUGGAGAUCUCAACCAUAGAAUACAAGCCGGAUGGAUGAAGUGUAAGAGUGCAUCCGGCGUGUUGUGUGACCGUCGUAGGCCACUGAAGCUCAAGGGAAAAUUUUAUAGGACGGCAAUAAGGCCAGCGAUGUUGUAUGGCACAGAAUGUUGGGCGGUGAAGCAUCAACACGUACACAAAAUGGAUGUAGCGGAGAUGAGGAUGCUUCGUGGGAUGUAUGGGCACACGAGAAAUGAUAAGAUCGGGAAUGAGGAUAUCCGAGAUAAAGUAGGAGUAGCCAAAAUUGAAGGAAAUAUGAGAGAAAAUCGGUUCCGGUGGUUUGGACAUGUGCAAAGAAGGCCUACUGACGCUCCGGUUCGAAAAUGUGACUACGGGACAGAGGUUCAGGGCCGAAGGGGUAGAGGAAGACCUAGGAAAACUUUGGAAGAGACCCUAAGAAAAGACUUGAGUACUUGGAUCUAACGGAGGACAUUACACAAAACCGAGCGCAAUGGCGUUCUAGGAUUCAUAUAGCCGACCCCACUUAGUGGGAAAAGGCUUUGUUGUUGUUGUUGUUGUUGUUGUUGUUUCUCUUGUUUCUUGUGUAUAAUGCGAUUUGAUUUCCAUUUGAUUAGUUGUUGGUUAUGGUAUAAUUUUACGAGACUGGAGUUCAAUUGUGCAGG